This 898-nucleotide ribosomal RNA is filed under the name uncultured bacterium. RNAcentral describes it as "bacterial SSU rRNA". It matches the Rfam family "Bacterial small subunit ribosomal RNA", at positions 8 to 917 of the family's 1533-position model. The record is from RNAcentral.
AGAGUUUGAUCCUGGCUCAGGAUGAACGCUGGCGGCGUGCCUAAUACAUGCAAGUCGAACGGGAAGUAUUAAUUUCGAUUUUUACUUCUAGUGGCGAACGGGUGAGUAACGCGUUGGUGACCUGCCCCGAAGAGGGGGAUAACUCCGCGAAAGCGGUGCUAAUACCCCAUGUGGUCUCUGAGAUUAGAUGCUCGGUGACUAAAGGAGCAAUCCACUUCGGGAGGGGCCUGCGUCCCAUCAGCUAGUUGGUAAGGUAACGGCCUACCAAGGCGAUGACGGGUAGGGGACCUGAGAGGGUGGUCCCCCACACUGGCACUGAAACACGGGCCAGACAUCUACGGAUGGCAGCAGUAGGGAAUAUUGCACAAUGGGCGAAAGCCUGAUGCAGCAACGCCGCGUGCGCGAAGAAGGCCUUCGGGUUGUAAAGCGCUUUUCUGGAGGAAGAGGAAGGACGGUACUCCAGGAAUAAGGAUCGGCUAACUACGUGCCAGCAGCCGCGGUAACACGUAGGAUCCGGGCGUUAUCCGAAUUUACUGGGCGUAAAGCGCGUGUAGGCGGCUGGGUAAGUUGGACGUGAAAGCUCCUGGCUCAACUGGGAGAGGUCGUUCAAAACUGCCCGGCUAGAGGGCGACAGAGGGAGGUGGAAUUCCCGGUGUAGUGGUGAAAUGCGUAGAUAUCGGGAGGAACACCAGUGGCGAAGGCGGCCUCCUGGGUCGCCCCUGACGCUCAGACGCGAAAGCUAGGGGAGCAAACGGGAUUAGAUACCCCGGUAGUCCUAGCUGUAAACGAUGUGGACUUGGCGUUGGUGGGGUCAAAUCCAUCAGUGCCGGAGCUAACGCGAUAAGUCCACCGCCUGGGGACUACGGUCGCAAGAUUAAAACUCAAAGGAAUUGACGGG